CAGCCGCCGCGGUAAUACAGAGGGUGCAAGCGUUAAUCGGAAUUACUGGGCGUAAAGCGCGCGUAGGUGGUUUGUUAAGUUGGAUGUGAAAGCCCCGGGCUCAACCUGGGAACUGCAUCCAAAACUGGCAAGCUAGAGUACGGUAGAGGGUGGUGUAAUUUCCUGUGUAGCGGUGAAAUGCGUAGAUAUAGGAAGGAACACCAGUGGCGAAGGCGACUACCUGGACUGAUACUGACACUGAGGUGCGAAAGCGUGGGGAGCAAACAGGAUUAGAUACCCCUGUAGUCCCUGUCUCUUAUAC
Molecule: ribosomal RNA, 301 nt
Filed under: uncultured bacterium
Lineage: Bacteria
Description: partial 16S ribosomal RNA
Rfam family: Bacterial small subunit ribosomal RNA
Source: RNAcentral